GAAAUGCGAUAAGUAGUGUGAAUUGCAGAAUUCAGUGAAUCAUCAAAUCUUUGAACGCACAUUGCGCCCCUCGGUAUUCCGUGGGGCAUGCCUGUUCGAGCGUCAUCUACACCCUCAAGCUCUGCUUGGUGUUGGGCGUCUGUCCCGCCUCCGCGCGCGGACUCGCCCCAAAUGCAUUGGCAGCGGUUCCUUGCCCCCCUCUUUGCGCAGCACAUUGCCAUUCGAGGCGGCGGCGGCCCGCGUCCAACAAGCUCAACCCCCCCGUCUUUGACCUCGGAUCAGGUAGGGAUACCCGCUGAACUUAAGC
This 307-nucleotide unclassified non-coding RNA is filed under the name plant metagenome. RNAcentral describes it as "partial contains 5.8S ribosomal RNA, internal transcribed spacer 2, and large subunit ribosomal RNA". The stretch from base 1 to 105 matches the Rfam family "5.8S ribosomal RNA", at positions 50 to 154 of the family's 154-position model. The record is from RNAcentral.